GAGUAUCGUAAGAUCAGCAGUCUGCAGUCGACGUCGUUGGCGUCGUUGCUCUCGCGCGAUUGUGAAUUUCGAUGAGUAAGUGGGCACAAUCGUGUGUUAGUCUUUCCGUUGCCCCCGCAGCAGUCUGCAAGACAACCGCCGACGCGACGAUUUUUCGCUUGUGCUUCGAUGGUAUACUGGACUUGAUUCCAGAAGUUAUAGAAGAUGAUGAUGAUGAGCAAGAAAUCAAUCCACAUCGUGGCGAAGAUUAUUUACAAAGGAUUCAAGAGAGACACAGACUCGUCCACCUAUAUUUUAAUUAUUCAAAAAUUGAAUUUUGUAUUCAUGCAUUUAUGCAUGCACAUGCAUGCACUACCUAUAAAAGAAACGCUACUCGCUUCAUUUUGAAGGACCUUUAUUCGUUGUCAGAUUGACAGUGUUUCUUGAUCGAUGAUGAUAAUGUUAAUAAUUAAUGAUAAUAAUUAAAUGUAUUAUUAGAUAUACCUAAUUAUAUUUAAAUAAAUAAAGUCGCUAGAAUUCUAUAGAGUGA
This is a long non-coding RNA of Nasonia vitripennis (jewel wasp), 529 nucleotides long. RefSeq lists it as uncharacterized. Lineage: Eukaryota; Metazoa; Arthropoda; Insecta; Hymenoptera; Pteromalidae. The transcript has 2 exons. The record is from RefSeq and is a predicted model, not a curated record.